GAUGAACGCUGGCGGCGUGCCUAAUACAUGCAAGUCGAGCGAACGGACGAGAAGCUUGCUUCUCUGAUGUUAGCGGCGGACGGGUGAGUAACACGUGGAUAACCUACCUAUAAGACUGGGAUAACUUCGGGAGACCGUAGCUAAUACCGGAUAAUAUUUUGAACCGCAUGGUUCAAAAGUGAAAGACGGUCUUGCUGUCACUUAUAGAUGGAUCCGCGCUGCAUUAGCUAGUUGGUAAGGUAACGGCUUACCAAGGCAACGAUGCAUAGCCGACCUGAGAGGGUGAUCGGCCACACUGGAACUGAGACACGGUCCAGACUCCUACGGGAGGCAGAAGUAGGGAAUCUUCCGCAAUGGGCGAAAGCCUGACGGAGCAACGCCGCGUGAGUGAUGAAGGUCUUCGGAUCGUAAAACUCUGUUAUUAGGGAAGAACAUAUGUGUAAGUAACUGUGCACAUCUUGACGGUACCUAAUCAGAAAGCCACGGCUAACUACGUG
This 497-nucleotide ribosomal RNA is filed under the name uncultured bacterium. RNAcentral's name for it is "partial 16S ribosomal RNA". It matches the Rfam family "Bacterial small subunit ribosomal RNA", at positions 28 to 507 of the family's 1533-position model. The record is from RNAcentral.